RNAcentral lists this ribosomal RNA (256 nucleotides) under Cryptosporidium andersoni. RNAcentral describes it as "partial 18S ribosomal RNA". It matches the Rfam family "Eukaryotic small subunit ribosomal RNA", at positions 475 to 759 of the family's 1831-position model. Lineage: Eukaryota; Apicomplexa; Conoidasida; Eucoccidiorida; Cryptosporidiidae. The record is from RNAcentral.
AAAUAACAAUACAGGGCCUAACGGUCUCGUAAUUGGAAUGAGUGAAGUAUAAACCCCUUUACGAGUAUCAAUUGGAGGGCAAGUCUGGUGCCAGCAGCCGCGGUAAUUCCAGCUCCAAUAGCGUAUAUUAAAGUUGUUGCAGUUAAAAAGCUCGUAGUUGGAUUUCUGUUGUAUAAUUUAUAAUAUUACCAAGGUAAUUAUUAUAUUAUCAACAUCCUUCCUAUUAUAUUCUAAAUAUAUAGGAAACUUUACUUUG